CGCGGGGUGGAGCAGCCUUGGUAGCUCGUCGGGCUCAUAACCCGAAGGUCGUCGGUUCAAAUCCGGCCCCCGCAACCA
This 78-nucleotide transfer RNA is filed under the name Klebsiella pneumoniae. Its description in RNAcentral is "tRNA-Met(cat)". It matches the Rfam family "tRNA". From Rfam's summary of the family: Transfer RNA (tRNA) molecules are approximately 80 nucleotides in length. Their secondary structure includes four short double-helical elements and three loops (D, anti-codon, and T loops). RNAcentral also lists the same sequence under 2 other names. The record is from RNAcentral. Lineage: Bacteria; Pseudomonadati; Pseudomonadota; Gammaproteobacteria; Enterobacterales; Enterobacteriaceae.